UACGGGGGGGGUAAGCGUUGUUCGGAAUUCCUGGGCGUAAAGGGCUCGUAGGCGGCCAACUAAGUCAUACGUGAAAUCCCUCAGCUUAACUGGGGAACUGCGUGUGAUACUGGAUGGCUUGGAUUUGGGAGAGGGAUGCGGAAUUCCAGGUGUAGCGGUGAAAUGCGUAGAUAUCUGGAGGAAUACCGGUGGCGAAGGCGGCAUCCUGGACCGGCAUUGACGCUGAGGAGCGAAAGCCAGGGGAGCAAACGGG
Molecule: ribosomal RNA, 253 nt
Filed under: uncultured bacterium
Lineage: Bacteria
Description: partial 16S ribosomal RNA
Rfam family: Bacterial small subunit ribosomal RNA
Source: RNAcentral